UACGGUCGCAAGAUUAAAACUCAAAGGAAUAGACGGGGACCCGCACAAGUGGUGGAGCAUGUGGUUUAAUUCGAAGAUACGCGAAGAACCUUACCUAGCCUUGACAUAUUAAAGAACACCCUAGAGAUAGAGUGGUGCCUUCGGGAGCUUUUUUACAGGUGCUGCACGGCUGUCGUCAGCUCGUGUCGUGAGAUGUUGGGUUAAGUCCCGCAACGAGCGCAACCCUCGUCACUAGUUACUAACGGUUCGGCCGAGGACUCUAGUGAGACUGCCUUCGUAAGGAGGAGGAAGGUGAGGACGACGUCAAGUCAUCAUGGCCCUUACGGCUAGGGCAACACACGUGCUACAAUGGCCAGGACAAUGAGACGCGAUACCGCGAGGUGGAGCAAAUCUAUAAACCUGGUCUCAGUUCGGAUUGUAGUCUGCAACUCGACUACAUGAAGCUGGAAUCACUAGUAAUCGUAGAUCAGCUAUGCUACGGUGAAUACGUUCCCGGGUCUUGUACUCACCGCCCGUCACACCAUGGGAGUUGAUUUCACCCGAAGCGGGGAAGCUAAACUGGCUACCCUCCACGGUGGAAUCAGCGACUGGGGUGAAGUCGUAACAAGGUAACC
This 614-nucleotide ribosomal RNA is filed under the name uncultured bacterium. Its description in RNAcentral is "bacterial SSU rRNA". It matches the Rfam family "Bacterial small subunit ribosomal RNA", at positions 881 to 1501 of the family's 1533-position model. The record is from RNAcentral.